Arabidopsis thaliana (thale cress) is the source of this 577-nucleotide long non-coding RNA. RefSeq annotates it as other RNA. The record is from RefSeq. The transcript is spliced from 2 exons. Lineage: Eukaryota; Viridiplantae; Streptophyta; Magnoliopsida; Brassicales; Brassicaceae.
AAUUAUGUCUUUGGCUUUUGCUAGGAAACCUGCUCUGCCAUAGAGAUCAACCAUACAAGAAAAAUGUUGAAGACAAGGACGUAUACCAUACUCACACUGCAUCUUCAUAAACAGCCUUUCACCUUCAUGGACUAACUUGGAAUGACUGCAGGCUGAUAGAACUGCAACCACGGUUACAUGGUCAGGUUUAAUACCAGAUCUGGUCAUCUCCUUGAACAGGGCCAAGGCUACUCCCCCUUCACCUUGAUUUCCGUAUCCAUCUAUCAAGGAAGUGUUUGCAAUCCGAGCACAAAGAGGGAGAAUGCUUGCUAGUGUAAUGGAAUUUGGCUGAAAGCCAGCAACCAACAUCUCCCUCAGCAGGUGAGAGGCUUCUUCUGAUUUGUUCAGCUGCGCAUAACCGGAAAUGAUAGAGUUCCAAGUACACAAACUAUUUUCUUCAGUCUGUCGAAACACUAUUAAGGCGUGCCUAAGGUCUUUGCAUUUUGAGUACAUUGUGAUCAACGUGUUUCGAACAUUGUCAAUCCCAUCAUAAGAACUGUGAAUAGCAAGACCGUGAAUCUCUUUUCCCAAUCGUAUU